GGGUGUGAGGGAGAUCUGGCUGUGACAUUUGUCACCCCAUUGAUUGCCAGGGUUGAUUUGGCUGACCUGGAUGGCUAGGUGGGUGUCCCCUUUCUCUUUCUCCCCUCUAUAUGUAUUCUAAACUGUGUGCUUGGUCAAAGAGGAUGACCACCCCCAAUAGAGGAGCACCAAUUCUUCAGUCAAGGGUGUAUGAGUAGCUGCCCUCCCCUGAUAAAACCUCCAAACAAGC
This 229-nucleotide small nuclear RNA is filed under the name Fukomys damarensis (Damara mole-rat). Its description in RNAcentral is "7SK RNA". It matches the Rfam family "7SK RNA", at positions 1 to 233 of the family's 331-position model. Rfam says of the family: 7SK was discovered as an abundant small nuclear RNA in the mid-70s but a possible function has only recently been suggested. Two independent studies have found that 7SK RNA binds the CDK9/cyclin T complex (known as elongation factor P-TEFb). P-TEFb activates transcription by phosphorylating the C-terminal domain of RNA polymerase II. The record is from Rfam by way of RNAcentral. Lineage: Eukaryota; Metazoa; Chordata; Mammalia; Rodentia; Bathyergidae.